AGCGAACGCUGGCGGCAGGCCUAACACAUGCAAGUCGAACGAACCUUUCGGGGUUAGUGGCGGACGGGUGAGUAACCCGUGGGAACGUGCCUUUAGGUUCGGAAUAACUCAGGGAAACUUGUGCUAAUACCGAAUGUGACCUUCUGGGGAAAGAUUUAUCGCCUUUAGAGCGGCCCGCGUAUGAUUAGCUAGUUGGUUGAGGUAAUGGCUCACCAAGGCGACGAACAGUAGCUGGUCUGGGAGGAUGAUCAGCCACAUUGGGACUGAGACACGGCCCAAACUCCUACGGGAGGCAGCAGUGGGGAAUCUUGAGCAAUGGGCGAAAGACUGACGCAGCCAUGCCGCGUGAAUGAUGAAGGUCUUAGGAUUGUAAAAUUCUUUCAACGGGGACGAUAAUGACGGUACCCGGAGAAGAAGCCCCGGCUAACUUCGUG
RNAcentral lists this ribosomal RNA (434 nucleotides) under uncultured bacterium. Its description in RNAcentral is "partial 16S ribosomal RNA". It matches the Rfam family "Bacterial small subunit ribosomal RNA", at positions 29 to 507 of the family's 1533-position model. The record is from RNAcentral.